This is a long non-coding RNA of Portunus trituberculatus (swimming crab), 579 nucleotides long. RefSeq lists it as uncharacterized. The transcript has 4 exons. The record is from RefSeq and is a predicted model, not a curated record. NCBI's taxonomy places the organism in Eukaryota, Metazoa, Arthropoda, Malacostraca, Decapoda, Portunidae.
AGAAAGUCAAUCAGUAGUUGCCGAUGGCCAGAGGAGUUGUGGCUCAUCUCUGAUAGCUGUUAAGGAAUCUCCCACCGAACUUCCUAAGGUGACUACAUUCCCCAGAUCAGAAUCAGCCCAUGUUUGCCAAGCAACAAGAUCGAGAUGGAAAGUGGACAGGGUCGCCGCGGGCACUGUUUGUCUGCACUGAAGCCUCUGUGUCUGCGCGGAAGUAUACAGCCGGCUCUGUAAUUGUUGAAGCAGCCUUCCUACCCUUGAUUUUAACUAAAGCCACCUGUCAACUCAAGGGAUCUUAGUUGAAUGGAAGCCUGAAGCCACAGUGCUGAAGUGGAAGAAGACAUGCAAGUUGGUGGCCAUGAAGACCCUGAAGGAAUUUGCUGGGGAGCAGCAGAGAAAGGACUUACUUGAAGGUGCUGCUGGUCAGCAUCUGUGUUGGCUUGCUGCACUGAGAAAGAUUUUGGAGAAUGUGAUUGCAUGGUACAGCACCAUCUCAAGUGGUCCACAUCAUUGUUGUAAGUAGUACAAAGCUUCUGCCAAAUUGAAAGCAAGGUUUUUUUUUCUUAUAUAUAUAUAUAUAUA